RNAcentral lists this ribosomal RNA (490 nucleotides) under uncultured bacterium. Its description in RNAcentral is "partial 16S ribosomal RNA". It matches the Rfam family "Bacterial small subunit ribosomal RNA", at positions 30 to 507 of the family's 1533-position model. The record is from RNAcentral.
AUUGAACGCUGGCGGCAUGCUUUACACAUGCAAGUCGGACGGCCGCACAGAGAACUUUGUUUCCUGGGUGGCGCGUGGCGAGGGUGAGUGACACAUAUCUGAACGUACUGAGUGAUUGGGGUUAACUAAUCGAAAGAUUACCUAUUACCGCAUAUUUUCUGAGGCGGAAAGUUGAAGACUUUCGGGCCUUCUUUCUUUCGCUCGGCCGUGAGUGCAUUCGCUAGUUGGUAGGGUAAAGGCUUACCAAGGCGACGAUCAAUAGCGGGUCUGCGAGCGUGAUGGGCCACACUGGAACUGAGACACGGUCCAGACUCCUACGGGAGGCAGCAGUGGGGAAUCUUGGACAAUGGGCGCAAGCCUGAUCGAGCCACGCCGCGUGAGUGAAGAAGGCCUUCGGAUUGUAAAGGACUGUUGUCAGGGAAGAAAAGAUGUUUACGAAUACCGACAGAUCAUGACGGUACCUGAUCAAUAAGCACCGGCUAACUACGUG